RNAcentral lists this ribosomal RNA (1125 nucleotides) under Clostridioides difficile. Its description in RNAcentral is "partial 23S ribosomal RNA". It matches the Rfam family "Bacterial large subunit ribosomal RNA", at positions 1567 to 2703 of the family's 2925-position model. Lineage: Bacteria; Bacillati; Bacillota; Clostridia; Peptostreptococcales; Peptostreptococcaceae. The record is from RNAcentral.
UGGGGAGCGAAAUUUAGUAGCGAAGUAGCUGAUUUCACACUGUCAAGAAAAGUCUCUAUCGAGGUUAAAGGUACCCGUACCGCAAACCGACACAGGUGGGUGAGGAGAGUAUCCUAAGGCCAGCGAGAGAACUGUUGUUAAGGAACUCGGCAAAAUGACCCCGUAACUUAGGGAUAAGGGGUGCCACCAUCAGGUGGCCGCAGAGAAUAGGCCCAAGCGACUGUUUACCAAAAACAUAGGUUUCUGCUAAGUCGCAAGACGAUGUAUAGGAGCUGACGCCUGCCCGGUGCUGGAAGGUUAAGGGGAUCUGUUAGAGCAAUCGAAGCAGUGAACUUAAGCCCCAGUAAACGGCGGCCGUAACUAUAACGGUCCUAAGGUAGCGAAAUUCCUUGUCGGGUAAGUUCCGACCCGCACGAAAGGCGUAACGAUUUGGGCACUGUCUCAACAACAGACUCGGUGAAAUUGUAAUUCCGGUGAAGAUGCCGGAUACCUGCGACAGGACGGAAAGACCCCAUGGAGCUUUACUGUAGCUUGACAUUGGGUCUUGGUACUACAUGUACAGGAUAGGUGGGAGGCUUUGAAACCAGGACGCCAGUUUUGGCGGAGCCAUCCUUGGGAUACCACCCUUGUAGUACUGGGACUCUAACCAUAGGCCAUGAAUCUGGUCUUGGGACACUGUCAGGUGGGCAGUUUGACUGGGGCGGUCGCCUCCCAAAAGGUAACGGAGGCGCUCAAAGGUUCUCUCAGUACGGUCGGAAAUCGUACGUAGAGUGUAAAGGCAAAAGAGAGCUUGAUUGCAAGACAUACAGGUCGAGCAAGGAUGAAAAUCGGACUUAGUGAUCCGGUGGUUCUGCGUGGAAGGGCCAUCGCUCAACGGAUAAAAGCUACCCUGGGGAUAACAGGCUUAUCUCCCCCAAGAGUCCACAUCGACGGGGAGGUUUGGCACCUCGAUGUCGGCUCAUCACAUCCUGGGGCUGUAGUAGGUCCCAAGGGUUGGGCUGUUCGCCCAUUAAAGUGGUACGCGAGCUGGGUUCAGAACGUCGUGAGACAGUUCGGUCCCUAUCCGUCGCAGGCGUAGGAAAUUUGAGAAGACCUGUCCUUAGUACGAGAGGACCGGGAUGGACG